RNAcentral lists this ribosomal RNA (253 nucleotides) under uncultured bacterium. RNAcentral's name for it is "partial 16S ribosomal RNA". It matches the Rfam family "Bacterial small subunit ribosomal RNA", at positions 524 to 776 of the family's 1533-position model. The record is from RNAcentral.
UACGAAGGGGGCUAGCGUUGUUCGGAUUUACUGGGCGUAAAGCGCACGUAGGCGGAUCGUUAAGUGAGGGGUGAAAUCCCAGGGCUCAACCCUGGAACUGCCUUUCAUACUGGCGAUCUCGAGUCCGGAAGAGGUGAGUGGAACUCCUAGUGUAGAGGUGGAAUUCGUAGAUAUCAAGAGGAACACCUGAGGUGAAGACGGGUUGCUGGGCUGACACUGACGCUGAGGCGCGAAAGCCAGGGGAGCAAACGGG